GCAUGAGCUGUCUGGACGUGAAGGGGUUUCUACUUUGCAUAACAGAGGUCCCCAACACUGAUCUGUAGUGUGCUAUGCCAACUGGGUGUAUGCACCAAGCCCUGCAUCGAUAUGGUCAUCUCUCAGGGCCAGGGAACCACCAGGUUGCCUAAGAAGGGGUGAGCUAGUCCAGGUUGGAAUGGAGCAGGUCAAAGCUCCAGUGCCAGUCAGUAGUGUGAUCACACCUGUGAAUAGUCACUGUACUCCAGCCUGGCCAACAUAGUGAGA
RNAcentral lists this signal recognition particle RNA (267 nucleotides) under Nannospalax galili (Upper Galilee mountains blind mole rat). RNAcentral describes it as "Metazoan signal recognition particle RNA (ENSNGAG00000005197.1)". It matches the Rfam family "Metazoan signal recognition particle RNA". From Rfam's summary of the family: The signal recognition particle (SRP) is a universally conserved ribonucleoprotein. It is involved in the co-translational targeting of proteins to membranes. Lineage: Eukaryota; Metazoa; Chordata; Mammalia; Rodentia; Spalacidae. The record is from RNAcentral.